CUCUAUUCAGCACGUUCCCUGGAUAAAGAUCAUACAUGUAUUGUCAUAAUACAAAUUUCCUCCCGGAUCAGACGUGUGAUUUCUGUGCUCUGUGCUGGUGAAGUCACCCUGACUCAUCAUUCUUGGAACCUGGAAAAAAAUUGCUCGUUUCGUUUUCAAGAGAACAUGUGGAGAAAGCUCAGAAACACAAUGAGCUCCCAUCAGCCCCAUCCACCCCUACCCAGCUAAGGACUGAUGGGUUUCACCAAGAGAUGUAAUCCUUGUGCCAAGCAAUGAAAUGCCCACACUGUCAUAAUUACUGGUGGUUUAAAAUGUGUGGGAGCUUUCAAGUGGAGUUUUUCCUCAUUUUUCCCUCUUAGAUGAGGGCUGCUCAUCUAAGAAUUUGAGCAGCAAGCAGUGUAAAUGUUAAAGGUUUCUAGAGGAAAUGAUGGCUUCUAAGUAUGUGCUGACUGGGUAAAACUGGAGGUCCUGUAGGAUACCUCCUAUCUCUUCUUUCUAGUUAUAGGUGAUAACCACUUGAUAAAACCAAAGCCAUGGAAAAAAAAAAAAGACCAACAAUGGAAAGAACCAACCUGCUUCUAAAAGAUGGGUUUUAUGAGUAUGACAAAUGCAGAAAAAUCAUAAAUCCAAACCGAUCAUUUGUAAGGGGUUAUCUCAGGAAUUUAUUUUCUCUCUGAUAGGGAUAAAAGCAACCAGGAGUGGGACAACAGUCCCACUUACUUUGUGAUGCUGCCCUGGAACCCCAUCACCAAGGGAACAAAACGGAUGUGGGAUGAUGCUCUCCCCACAGGCUUUCUCUUCUCCGAUGCUUCUUGGGUACCUGAACAUUCAGGAGCACCUGAUCUACCACGAUUUUCUGGAGACCAUUAAUCAGACUAAAUCAACCAUGGAAGUGCCAUGACUUUGGUUUGGAAUCUGUCAAGGAAACUCAUGCAGUCGAUCAGCACAGAAACAGAAGAAAGCUUUGAUGACAGCAAGGUUUAUUCUGAGAAGAAGGAGAAUGUGAAUUAUUCGGCCAUCUCCACAGGAUAUUUUCCAUAUUACAGAUCGAAUGAGGAGCAGUUUGUCCAGCCACUCCUAUAUGGCUUAAAUGCAGGGGGAGAGAAGCCUGAAAGCAACUGGAAAGAUGAAGGAGAAGGUGGAUGUGCAGAACUUGGUGGAGAUGCUGAGAAGACCACCCGCCCAGCUCUGGGGGAAGAGAGGAAGCUGUGUUCUUCCAUGGCCAAUAUAGAGCCAACAUCCCAGCAGCUCCUAGGAGGCAGCACCUUGGGAAGCUGCCUGCCAACCUUCACCCUCCCCACCACACUGCCAAGCCUGGACCGGCCCUUUUCUUCCACUGGCUACGUCCCUUACUACAGAACAGAAGCAGAACUCUGCAUCAGCCCAGCAAUGUGUGACAGGUUUCUCACCAGGACAGAAGUUUUGCAGAAUGAAGAGGGAAGAUGGGUGGAAGAAAAAAACACUUGGAAUUUUGGUGCCAGCUGCUUGGUGUCCUGAGAACAAAGCAGCAAGUUUGUCAGCAAAAGGCAGAAACUGGUUUAACGUAGACGUGAAUUAGAAGUUCUUGAAAGCUAUAGCCACAUGAACAGCUGUAUGAAUAUGGAAUAAGUGUACUUCUCCCUUUGAAUAAAACAGUAAGUGAAAAGCUGGACUCUGUAAUG
Phasianus colchicus (ring-necked pheasant) is the source of this 1661-nucleotide long non-coding RNA. NCBI's taxonomy places the organism in Eukaryota, Metazoa, Chordata, Aves, Galliformes, Phasianidae. The record is from Ensembl.